CCUACGGGGUGCAGCAGUAGGGAAUCUUCCACAAUGGGCGAAAGCCUGAUGGAGCAACGCCGCGUGGGUGAAGAAGGUCUUCGGAUCGUAAAACCCUGUUGUUAGAGAAGAAAGUGCGUGAGAGUAACUGUUCACGUUUCGACGGUAUCUAACCAGAAAGCCACGGCUAACUACGUGCCAGCAGCCGCGGUAAUACGUAGGUGGCAAGCGUUAUCCGGAUUUAUUGGGCGUAAAGGGAACGCAGGCGGUCUUUUAAGUCUGAUGGGAAAGCCUUCGGCUUAACCGGAGUAGUGCAUUGGAAACUGGGAGACUUGAGUGCAGAAGAGGAGAGUGGAACUCCAUGUGUAGCGGUGAAAUGCGUAGAUAUAUGGAAGAACACCAGUGGCGAAAGCGGCUCUCUGGUCUGUAACUGACGCUGAGGUUCGAAAGCGUGGGUAGCAAACAGGAUUAGAUACCCGAGUAGUC
RNAcentral lists this ribosomal RNA (465 nucleotides) under uncultured bacterium. RNAcentral's name for it is "partial 16S ribosomal RNA". It matches the Rfam family "Bacterial small subunit ribosomal RNA", at positions 338 to 795 of the family's 1533-position model. The record is from RNAcentral.